This 1173-nucleotide ribosomal RNA is filed under the name Streptomyces viridochromogenes Tue57. RNAcentral describes it as "bacterial LSU rRNA". It matches the Rfam family "Bacterial large subunit ribosomal RNA", at positions 1762 to 2925 of the family's 2925-position model. Lineage: Bacteria; Bacillati; Actinomycetota; Actinomycetes; Kitasatosporales; Streptomycetaceae. The record is from RNAcentral.
UUGAGCUGGGGGUGGCCGCAGAGACCAGCGAGAAGCGACUGUUUACUAAAAACACAGGUCCGUGCGAAGCCGUAAGGCGAUGUAUACGGACUGACGCCUGCCCGGUGCUGGAACGUUAAGGGGACCGGUUAGCUCACUUUCGGGUGGGCGAAGCUGAGAACUUAAGCGCCAGUAAACGGCGGUGGUAACUAUAACCAUCCUAAGGUAGCGAAAUUCCUUGUCGGGUAAGUUCCGACCUGCACGAAUGGCGUAACGACUUCUCGACUGUCUCAACCAUAGGCCCGGUGAAAUUGCACUACGAGUAAAGAUGCUCGUUUCGCGCAGCAGGACGGAAAGACCCCGGGACCUUUACUACAGUUUGAUAUUGGUGUUCGGUUCGGCUUGUGUAGGAUAGGUGGGAGACUUUGAAGCGGGCACGCCAGUGUUCGUGGAGUCGUCGUUGAAAUACCACUCUGGUCGUGCUGGAUGUCUAACCUGGGUCCGUGAUCCGGAUCAGGGACAGUGUCUGAUGGGUAGUUUAACUGGGGCGGUUGCCUCCCAAAGGGUAACGGAGGCGCCCAAAGGUUCCCUCAGCCUGGUUGGCAAUCAGGUGUUGAGUGUAAGUGCACAAGGGAGCUUGACUGUGAGACCGACGGGUCGAGCAGGGACGAAAGUCGGGACUAGUGAUCCGGCGGUGGCUUGUGGAAGCGCCGUCGCUCAACGGAUAAAAGGUACCCCGGGGAUAACAGGCUGAUCUUCCCCAAGAGUCCAUAUCGACGGGAUGGUUUGGCACCUCGAUGUCGGCUCGUCGCAUCCUGGGGCUGGAGUCGGUCCCAAGGGUUGGGCUGUUCGCCCAUUAAAGCGGUACGCGAGCUGGGUUUAGAACGUCGUGAGACAGUUCGGUCCCUAUCCGCUGUGCGCGUAGGAGUCUUGAGAAGGGCUGUCCCUAGUACGAGAGGACCGGGACGGACGAACCUCUGGUGUGCCAGUUGUUCUGCCAAGGGCAUGGCUGGUUGGCUACGUUCGGGAGGGAUAACCGCUGAAAGCAUCUAAGCGGGAAGCCUGCUUCGAGAUGAGGACUCCCACCCACUUGAUGGGGUAAGGCUCCCAGUAGACGACUGGGUUGAUAGGCCGGAUCUGGAAGCACGGUAACGUGUGGAGGUGACCGGUACUAAUAGGCCGAGGGCUUGUCCA